UGCCACUCUUAACGGGGUGGCUUUUCAGAAGUGUAAAAAGCUCCUGGAAUAAGGGCUGGGCAAGACCGGUGCCAGCCGCCGCGGUAACACCGGCAGCUCAAGUGGUAGCCGCUUUUAUUGGGCCUAAAGCGUCCGUAGCCGGUCUGAUAAGUCUCUGGUGAAAUCCCACAGCUUAACUGUGGGAAUUGCUGGAGAUACUAUCAUGACUCGAGGUCGGGAGAGGCUGGAGGUACUCCCAGGGUAGGGGUGAAAUCCUGUAAUCCUGGGAGGACCACCUGUGGCGAAGGCGUCCAGCUGGAACGAACCUGACGGUGAGGGACGAAAGCCAGGGGCGCGAACCGGAUUAGAUACCCGGGUAGUCCUGGCCGUAAACGAUGUGGACUUGGUGUUGAGAUGGCUUCGAGCUGCCCCAGUGCCGAAGGGAAGCUGUUAAGUCCACCGCCUGGGAAGUACGGCCGCA
This 460-nucleotide ribosomal RNA is filed under the name uncultured archaeon. Its description in RNAcentral is "bacterial SSU rRNA". It matches the Rfam family "Archaeal small subunit ribosomal RNA", at positions 385 to 845 of the family's 1478-position model. The record is from RNAcentral.